Molecule: long non-coding RNA, 835 nt
Filed under: Sinocyclocheilus anshuiensis
Lineage: Eukaryota; Metazoa; Chordata; Actinopteri; Cypriniformes; Cyprinidae
Description: lncRNA (ENSSANG00000029752.1)
Source: RNAcentral
UUCUGAUAAUAUUACCAAGGGGCAACAUGUAUAUUGAAAAUAGCAGAGAGACCGACCUAAGACAGAUCCUUGUGGCACUCCAUAUUUUACUGGUGAUAAUUGAGAUGACUCCCCAUUUAAAUGAACAAAAUGGUAGCGAUCGGACAGGUAGGAUCUAAACCAUCUUAAAGCCUGCCCUUGAAUACCUGUAUAGUUUUGUAAUCUAUCUAUGAGUAUGUCAUGAUCUAUAGUGUCGAACGCAGCACUAAGAUCAAGUAAAACUAGUAAUGAGAUGCAGCCUUGGUCUGACGCAAGAAGCAAGUCAUUUGUAAUUUUAACAAGUGCAGUUUCUGUGCUAUGGUGGGGUUUAGUUCACACUGGCCUGAUGGUGGAAAAUCAGCUGUUGUGUCCUCACUAACAUGAAGAUCACUGUUCUCUCAUGUUUCUGUCUCUCAGGUUUAUAUACCAGGUUGUGAUGGGAGGCAACAUUUCCCCCAAUGAGCAUGGGCUUGAGAAAGGAGGCCAGGGAGGAGCUGGAGAGGAGGAGACGCUGUCCUCUCAGUCUGUUAAAAGUGUUGGCAUCUGUAACUGUCCUCGUGAUCAAACUACACAAUAUGCAUCUCAAUCUCAUCAUCUGCAGAGAAACUGCUGCUCGAUCACCAGAAUGAUGGACUGAAUGCUUCAGAGAGGAUUGUGAAGAGAUUCCACUGGAACUUGUUCUUCAUCACAUCUGUUUUAUUUCAUGCAUUUAUUAAUCUUCAGUGUCAACUGUUAUUAAUAUAUUCAGGUGAUAACUUGUUAAAAGCACUGAUAUUUGUGCUACAAUUUCACAUGCCAAUAAAAACGUAUUAUACAG